Long non-coding RNA from Musa acuminata AAA Group (dessert banana), 1325 nucleotides. RefSeq lists it as uncharacterized. The record is from RefSeq and is a predicted model, not a curated record. NCBI's taxonomy places the organism in Eukaryota, Viridiplantae, Streptophyta, Magnoliopsida, Zingiberales, Musaceae. The transcript is spliced from 3 exons.
UCACCAACUUAGAUUUGCGACUCUUCCAUGCAUUUAUUCUGUGUGAACAAUGUUCUGUUCGACGAUGAUCGUGCAUCGAUCUAUUAAUCUUAGACAUGGAAGCUUCCUGCGUUGUCAGCUCCUUCGUGCAGCUAAUUCUUUGUUCUCUCUCUUCCAUGGAUGAUUGAUGGCAUUUUGAAUCAUGCAGCAGAGAUGUUGCAGAAGCUGUCGUCGAAUCUUGAUGUUCCACGGCGUGCCCGAUGGAUCGCGGGAUCCAGAUUGCAAGAUUCCUUGCCCUGUUUCAACAUCCUAAAUCGCCGGAGAUUCUUGUUCUUCGAUUCGGUUUACUAUUGCCGGUAACUGAUGACCUACUUUGUCGUCUCACAGGCACGUCGAUGGGACGCCCAACAUUGUCCCACGGGCUUCCGCUGUCGUGUCCUCGGCGAACCCUGAACGAAGCCACCCGGAGAUGCUUCGGUGUUCCCCGACUCACCCAACAGCCCAGCUCACGACAGGCUGCCGCGGCGUCCGCCGAAAGGCGCGCCGCCGUGAACUCUCGCUUCCUCGAUAGCGCGUCGCUCUUCGCAUGCUUGGUCGCGUCUUUAGUCGUUACAUCAAGGGGUGCUCUUCCUUUUCCCCGAGUAUAAAGGGAGAGGGCUCGGGAAGAGAAAGAGAGAGAGAGAGAGGGAGCGCGCGUCUCAAGGAGAUUGGUGGAGGAUCCAUGAGGGCCGCCGGGAAGGCCGCGUCCCUCGGCGGCUACCGAUCGGUCGGCCCGCUCGCCGGCCGUGCGGCGAUGCCUGCCGGGAGGGCUCCCAAGCCGGCCUCUUUGACCGCCUCCCCCGUGCCGCCGGCAGCCGAAGGAGGGCCGUCGAUGUCCAUCACCUCAUCCGAAAAGUGCCUCCACGAGGCGGCUACUAUCUCCACGGCGUGGGUGGGGGGAGGAGUAGCAGGGGUUCGCCCCCGAUUCACUGCAUCCGGCCCCAAGGCUCGUGUUCGGGCCCAUCCCGACGCUGGAGGAGGCCACUUCCAAUCUGAAAGAUACCAUCGAGAAAGUGUAUUUCUCUCCAAGCACCAAUUUCCCUGCUACAGAAGUUCCUCAUAUGUCUGCCCACCAUGAAGCCUCAGGGAUUAUUCCAUCAAUGCAGGGACAUGUUGUUCGAGAAUUUUCACUGCUGCAAGGAAGUCCGGAAGUUCAGGGUGUUGUUGCUUAGCUUGCUUCCAACAAGAAUGUUUGGGAUGCCAUAAUGAAGAAUGAGAAAGUCAUGGAAUUCUACAGAACUUACAUGUCAAGUGAGUGUGCAUUCACUUCUAUUAACAUAUCAACUUGAAAUGAACUUGUGAUGUAU